GGUAGUGUGAGGGUUAAAGUUGGUAAAAGCGCCUGUCUAGUAAGCAGGAUAUCCUGAGUUCAAAUCACAGCAGCGCCU
This is a non-coding RNA of Dallia pectoralis (Alaska blackfish), 78 nucleotides long. The record is from the annotation of a GenBank genome assembly. Lineage: Eukaryota; Metazoa; Chordata; Actinopteri; Esociformes; Umbridae.